RNAcentral lists this ribosomal RNA (775 nucleotides) under uncultured Neocallimastigales. RNAcentral's name for it is "partial large subunit ribosomal RNA". It matches the Rfam family "Eukaryotic large subunit ribosomal RNA", at positions 24 to 647 of the family's 3401-position model. The record is from RNAcentral. Lineage: Eukaryota; Fungi; Neocallimastigomycota; Neocallimastigomycetes; Neocallimastigales.
GUAGUCUCGCACAGAUGCAUAUCAAUAAGCGGAGGAAAAGAAACUAACAAGGAUUCCCCUAGUAACGGCGAGUGAAGCGGGAAGAGCUCAAAUUUGAAAUCUUAAAGGGUUUCCCUUUACGAAUUGUAGUUUAAAGAAGUGUUUUCUGUUGAGGUUUUGGUAAAAGUUCUUUGGAAUAGGACAUCAUAGAGGGUGAGAAUCCCGUAUUUGACCUUUACUUUCAACUUUGUGAUACACUUUCAAAGAGUCGGAUUGUUUGGGAAUGCAGUCCAAAAUGGGUGGUAAAUUUCAUCUAAAGCUAAAUAUUGGCGAGAGACCGAUAGCGAACAAGUACCGUGAGGGAAAGAUGAAAAGAACUUUGAAAAGAGAGUUAAACAGUACGUGAAAUUGUCAAAAGGGAAGCGUUUGACACCAGUGUUGUUUUUCUGAAAAUCAAUUAAAGAACUGUUUAUGCUAAGUUGUUUAGACUUUAUCAGCUAACUGUUUAGUUUUGAGCUUUUCUUUAAUGCACUUUUCAGUUAACAAGUCAACAUCAAUUUCUUUUGCUGUAAAAAAGCUUGAGGAAGGUGGCUUGAGAUUCGUCCUUAAGUGUUUAUAGCCUCUUGCCUAUGCAGUCGGAGAGAUUGAGGUCUGCAGCGUAGAUCCUUCGGGGCUAAAUACAUUUGUGCUAAGUUAUAGCAUUUUAUAGACAACUUGUUGACUAUGAUUUGUCUUGUAGCUUACUCGCUUAUGUUAUUUUACCUACGCUUAGGAUGUUGACGCAUGAGAUAUACGC